AUAUGAAAUUAUAACAUUAAUUCCCACCUAUGUUAAUUUUGCCAUUGACUUAUGAACUAAUUUUCAAAUUUAUUUUGAAAUUAAUCAUACCUUCUAGUUCAAGGACCUUCAUGGAUUCUGAAUGUAAAAGAAUCCCAAUGAUUUUAUCUCUUCAGAAAACAUAAAUAUAAAUUGUAUUCAAAUAUGCAUAUUACACAAAGAUGCAUUACACAUAUUGCAAGAGACAUUCACACAUAUUUUUGGUUGGUGAUUUAGCCUGAAUUUGCUAACAAUGGCAUGGUGUCUACUUUGAUUUUGUUUAGCUGGAAUAAUCAAGUAUUAGUCCAUUCUUUCACUGCUAUUAAAUACCUGAGACUGGGUAGUUUAUAGGGAAAAGAAGAUUAAUUGGCUGAAGGUUCUGCAGACUGUAUGAGAAGCAUAGUGGCUUCUGAGAAAACCUCAGGAAAGUUAGAAUCAUGGUGGUGUAGGAGGACUAGCCACAGACAAAACCACUCAGACACCGGGUUAAGAAGGAAGUGGCUUUAUUUGGCCAGGAGCAUCAGCAGACUUGCAUGUCAAGAACUGAGCUCUCUGAAGAAAGAGUUCCUGGCCCUUUUAAGAACUUACAACUCUAAGGGGUUCACGUGAAAGGGUUGUGAUAGAUUGACAUUCAGAGAUAGCAUAUGUGAUUAGAGGGGGGCUAAUCUUUAACCUCUCUCUUCAUUCCCCCAUUUGAGAACCUUACUCACUAGUGGGAGGUCUCACUCUCAUCUUCACUACCCAGGUCUUUCUGCAAGACAGAUCGACAGUGAUUCAUGUAAUACACUUGUGUAUUACAAGACAUUCAUGUAAUACAUUUGUGCUGAAGUUUUCUGAUGAACCAAGGUAGUAACAAAACUUCUUAGAAGUUGGAGAAAUAUGGGUAACAAACAAAGGAGCAAUAGGAGGGUUGCAGCUGGAGAUCUGGGGAGGAGCUGGUGUUUUUUAGUUUGAGGGUCAUGCAGCUAUAGACCCUGGGAGGAGCAGGAGUUUCUUUAGUUUGAGGGUUGGGCAGCUGCAGAACCCGGGAGAAUCUGAUGUUCUGGUUUGAGGGUCCUGCAGCUGGAGACCCAGAGAGCAGCUGGUGUUUCUUUAGUUUGAUGGCCGUGCAGCUGUAGAACCCAGGGGGAGCUGGUAUUUUUCUAGUAUGAGUGUCCUGCAGCUGGAGACCUGGAGAAGAGCUGAUGUUCUAGUUUGAGGGUCGUGCCGCUGAAGACUCAGGGAGAAGCUGAUGUUCUCGUUUGAGGAUACUGCAGCUGGAGACCUGGAGAGGAGCUGAUGUUAUUCUAGUUUGAGGAUCAUGGAGCUUGAGAUCCACAGAGGAGCAGGUAUUGUUCUAGAUUGAGGUUCAUGUAGCUGAAGACCUGGGGAGCAGCGGGUGUUUUUUAGUUUGAGGGUCAUGCAGCUGUAGAACCCGGGAGGAGCUGGUGUUUUUCUAGUAUGAGUGUCCUGCAGCUGGAGACCUGGAGAGGAGCUGAUGUUGUUCUAGUUUGAGGGUUGUGCAGCUGAAGACUUGGAGGGGAGCUGAUGUUGUUCUUGUUGAGGGUCUUUCAGCUGGAGACCCAGAGAGGAGCUGAUGUGGUUCUAGUUUAAGGGUCAUGGAGCUGGAGACCCAGAGAGGAGCUGGUGUUGUUCUGAUUUGAGGUUCAUGCAGCUGGAGACAUGGAGAGGAGCGGGUGUUUCUUUAGUUUGAGAUUCAUGCAGCUGUAGAACCGGGGAAGAGCUGGCGUUUUUCUAGUAUGAGUGUCCUACAGCUGGAGACCAGGAGAGGAGCUGAUGUUCUAGUUUGAGAGCCAUGCGACUGGAGAUGCAAAGAGGAGCUGAUUUGGUUCUAGUUUGAGGGUCAUGGAGCUGGAGACCCAGAGAGGAGCUGGUGUUUCUUUAGUUUGAGGGUCAUACAGCUGUAGAACCCAUGAGGAGCUUGCAUUUUUCUAGUGUGAGUGUCCUGCAGCUGAAGACCUGGAGAAGAGCUGAUGCUUUCAAUUGAGGGUUGUGCAGCUUAAGACUCAGGGAGGAGCUGAUGUUCUAGUUUGAGGGCCAUGAGCUUAAGACCCGGGGAUGAGCUGAUGUUGUUCUGGUUUGAGGGCCGUGAUCUGGGGACUUGGAGAGGAGCUGAUGUUGUUCUAGUUUGAGGUGCCCUGCAGCUGAAGACUCGGGAAGGAGCUGAUGUUGUCCUUGUUUUACGAUCUUUCAGCUGGAGACUCAAAGAGGAGCUGAUGUUGUUCUAAUUUGAGUGUAAUGGAGCUGGAGACCCGGGGUGGAGCUGAUGUUGUUCUAGUUUGAGUGUUGUGCAGCUGGAGAUCCAAGAAGGAGCCGGUGUUGGUGUUCUAGUGUGAGGGUGUGGAUCUGGAGAUCCAUGGGGGAGUGACGUUCUUCUAGUUUUUGGGUUGUGGUGCUGGAGACCCAGGGAGGAGCUCAUGGUGUUCUAGUUGAGGGUCGUGGUGCUGGAGACCCAGGGAGGAGUCGAUCCUUCUGUUGUUUAAGUCUGAAGGUCAUCGAGCUGGAGAUCCGGGGAAGAGCUGGUGCUGCGGUUCAAGUCUGAGGGUCCUGGAGCUUGAGACCCCAGGAGGAGAUGGUGCUGCCACGAAUGUCUUAGGUUGUAAAGCUGGAGACCUGCGAAGGAGCCGGUGUUGCUGUUUUAGUGUGAGGUUUGUGGAGCUGGAGUCCCAGGGGGAAAAUGGUGUUUUUCUGGCUUAAGGGUCAUGCAGCUGACCCUCAGAUGACCUCAAACUAUAACAACACUGCUCCACCCUGGAUCUCCAGCUCCAAAAUCCUCACAAUAGAAAAACAUCUGCUCCUCCCUGAGUGUCCAGCUCCACGAUGCUCAAACUAGAUUAAAAUCAGCUCCUUCCCAGGUGUCCAGCUGCAUGACCCUCAAACUAGAAACACCCGGGGAGGUUUUAUUAGUUUGCUGCUGUUUUUCUAGAUUGAGGGUCAUGCAGCUGGAGACGUGGGGAGGAGCUGAUGUUGUUCGAGUUUGAGGGUCAUGGAGCUUGGAGACCCAGGCAGGAGCUGGUGUUUUUCUAGUUUGAGGGUUGUGCAGCUGGAGACCCAGGGAGAAGCUGAUGUUGCUCUUAUUUGAGAGCUGUGGAGCUGGAGACCUGGAGAGGAGCUGAUGGUGUUCUAGUUUGAUGGUUGCAGAGCUGGAGACCCAGGGAGGAGCUGUUGUUUUUCUAGUUUGAGUUUCGUGCAGCUGAAGACCAUUGGAGGAGCUGAUGUUCUAGUUUGAGGGUUGUGCAGCUGGAGAUACAGGGAGAAGGUGGUCUUGCAGUUUAAAUGUGAGGGUCUUGGAGCUGGAAUCCAUGGGAGGAGCCAAUGCUGCCACUGAUGUCUUAGGUUGUGGAGCUGAAGACCCGCAGAGGAGCCAGUGUUGGUGUUCCAGUGUGAGGUUCGUGGAUCUGGAGACCCACGGAGGAGCAGGUGUUGGUGUUCUAGUGUGAGGGUCAUGGAUCUGGAGAUCCAUGGGGGAGUGGUGUUCUUCUAGUUUGUGGGUUGUGGUGCUGGAGACCCAGGGAGGAGCUGAUUCUUUUGUUGUUUAAGUCUGAAGGUCGUCAAGCUGGAGAUCCGGGGAAGAGCUGGUGCUGCGAUUCAAGUCUGAGGGUCCUGGAGCUUGAGACCCCAGGAGGAGAUGGUGCUGCCACUAAUGUCUUAGAUUGUAAAGCUGGAGAUCUGUGGAGGAGCUGGUGUUUCUGUUCUAGUGUAAGGUUUGUGGAUCUGGAGUCCCAGGGGUGAGCAGUGUUGUUUUAGUUUGAGGGUCAUGGAGUUAGAGACCCGGGGAGGAGCUGAUGUUGUAGUUUGAGGGUCGUGCAGCUGGAGACCCAGGGAGGAGCUGGUGUGUUUCUAGUUGGAGGGUUGUGGAGCUGGAGAUUCAC
This 3890-nucleotide long non-coding RNA is filed under the name Homo sapiens (human). RNAcentral describes it as "HSALNT0050163". The record is from RNAcentral. Lineage: Eukaryota; Metazoa; Chordata; Mammalia; Primates; Hominidae.